AAUACGCUAGUAAUCGCGGAUCAGCACGCCGCGGUGAAUACGUUCCCGGGCCUUGUACACACCGCCCGUCACACCAUGGAAGUCUGCAAUGCCCGAAGCCGGUGGCCUAACCACUUAUGUGGAAGGAGCCGUCUAAGGCAGGGCAGAUGACUGGGGUGAAGUCGUAACAAGGUAAC
This 176-nucleotide ribosomal RNA is filed under the name uncultured bacterium. RNAcentral describes it as "partial 16S ribosomal RNA". It matches the Rfam family "Bacterial small subunit ribosomal RNA", at positions 1329 to 1500 of the family's 1533-position model. The record is from RNAcentral.